Molecule: ribosomal RNA, 440 nt
Filed under: uncultured bacterium
Lineage: Bacteria
Description: partial 16S ribosomal RNA
Rfam family: Bacterial small subunit ribosomal RNA
Source: RNAcentral
CCUACGGGUGGCAGCAGUAGGGAAUAUUGCACAAUGGGCGAAACCCUGAAGCAGCAACGCCGCGUGGAUGAUGAAGGUUUUCGGAUUGUAAACUCCUUUUGUUAGAGAAGAUAAUGACGGUAUCUAACGAAUAAGCACUGGCCAACUCCGUGCCAGCAGCCGCGGUAAUACGGAGGGUGCAAGCGUUACGCGGAAUCACUGGGCGUAAAGAGCACGUAGGCGGGAUGGCAAGUCAGAUGUGAAAUCCUAUGGCUUAACCAUAAAACUGCAUUUGAUACUGUUAGUCUUGAGUAUGGGAGAGGUAGGUGGAAUUCGUGGUGUAGGGGUAAAAUGCGUAGAGAUCAAGAGGAAUACUGAUUGCGAAGGCGACCUGCUAGAACAUAACUGACGCUGAUGCGCGAAAGCGUGGGGAGCAAACAGGAUUAGAUACCCGAGUAGUC